RNAcentral lists this ribosomal RNA (441 nucleotides) under uncultured Actinomycetes bacterium. RNAcentral describes it as "bacterial SSU rRNA". It matches the Rfam family "Bacterial small subunit ribosomal RNA", at positions 340 to 793 of the family's 1533-position model. Lineage: Bacteria; Bacillati; Actinomycetota; Actinomycetes. The record is from RNAcentral.
UACGGGAGGCAGCAGUGGGGAAUAUUGCACAAUGGGCGGAAGCCUGAUGCAGCGACGCCGCGUGAGGGAUGACGGCCUUCGGGUUGUAAACCUCUUUCAGCAGGGACGAAGCGCAAGUGACGGUACCUGCAGAAGAAGCGCCGGCCAACUACGUGCCAGCAGCCGCGGUAAGACGUAGGGCGCGAGCGUUGUCCGGAUUUAUUGGGCGUAAAGAGCUCGUAGGCGGCUUGUCGCGUCGACUGUGAAAACCCGCGGCUCAACUGCGGGCUUGCAGCCGAUACGGGCAGGCUGGAGUUCGGUAGGGGAGACUGGAAUUCCUGGUGUAGCGGUGAAAUGCGCAGAUAUCAGGAGGAACACCGGUGGCGAAGGCGGGUCUCUGGGCCGAUACUGACGCUGAGGAGCGAAAGCGUGGGGAGCGAACAGGAUUAGAUACCCUGGUAG